This 481-nucleotide ribosomal RNA is filed under the name uncultured bacterium. RNAcentral describes it as "bacterial SSU rRNA". It matches the Rfam family "Bacterial small subunit ribosomal RNA", at positions 26 to 518 of the family's 1533-position model. The record is from RNAcentral.
AGGACGAACGCUGGCGGCACGCCUAACACAUGCAAGGUCGAACGGAGAUUUGAGAGCUUGCUCUUAAAUCUUAGUGGCGGACGGGUGAGUAACACGUGAGCAACCUGCCUCUGAGAGAGGGAUAGCUUCUGGAAACGGAUGGUAAUACCUCAUAAUAUUACAUGACCGCAUGAUCGUGUAAUCAAAGAUUUAUCAACUCGAGAGAUGGGCUCGCGUCUGAUUAGCUAGUUGGUGAGGUAACGGCCCACCAAGGCGACGAUCAGUAGCCGGACUGAGAGGUUGAACGGCCACAUUGGGACUGAGACACGGCCCAGACUCCUACGGGAGGCAGCAGUGAGGGAUAUUGCACAAUGGAGGAAACUCUGAAUGCAGCGAUGCCGCGUGGAGGAAGAAGGUUUUCGGAUUGUAAACUCCUGUUUCGAGGGACGAUAAUGACGGUACCUCGGGAGGAAGCUCCGGCUAACUACGUGCCAGCAGCUGC